Molecule: ribosomal RNA, 306 nt
Filed under: Myriochele sp. BC-2003
Lineage: Eukaryota; Metazoa; Annelida; Polychaeta; Sabellida; Oweniidae
Description: eukaryotic LSU rRNA
Rfam family: Eukaryotic large subunit ribosomal RNA
Source: RNAcentral
AUCACUAAGCGGAGGAAAAGAAACUAACAAGGAUUCCCUCAGUAACGGCGAGUGAAGCGGGAAGAGCCCAGCGCCGAAUCGCCCGGCCUUCGGCCGGCGCGAACUGUGGCGUUCAGGACAGCCUCUGGGGCGGCGUGCGGGCGUCCAAGUCCUUCAGAAGGGGGCUUCGCCCAGGGCGGGUGACAGGCCUUUACAGGCGCCGGCCGCCGCCUCUCUGAGCGUCCUCGGAGUCGGGUUGUUUGUGAAUGCAGCCCAAAGCGGGUGGUAAACUCCAUCUAAGGCUAAAUACUGACACGAGGCCGAUAG